UCUGCACUAAGUAGGCACUUAAUAAGUAUUUAUUAAAUUUAAUUGAAACCAUGUCUUCUAACUUCUGAUUAUAAUAGUAGCAUUUACAUAUUGCUUUAAGCUUUGCAAAGUGCUUUACAAACACUACUUCAUUUGACCCUCAUAGCAACCCUGGGAGAUAGGUGCUAUUAUUAUCCUCAUUUUACAGAUGAGAGGUCCAAGGCACAAAAUGAUUUGCCUGGGGUCACACACGGGAAAUGUAUAAGGCCAAAUUUGAACUCAGAUCUUCCUAAUUCCCAAUCCAGCUCUCUAUCCAUUGUACCAUCCAGCUGCCAAAAUUCUGACUCUAAAUCUUGCUCUUUGUAUUACAUCCUUCUGCUUACUAAUAAUCACAAUCAUAAUCAUUAUUAUGCCUUUUCUUUUUUUUCAAAUUCUUCAUUUUAUUAUAAUUUAAAAUUUUUUAUAAUUUUUUUAUUUUUCAAGAUAUAUGCAAAGAUAGUUUUAUUGCAUAUUUUUCUCCCUCCCUUCCCCCAACUCCUCUUUCCUAGACAGCAAGUAAUCCAAUAUAGCAUAAACAUGUGAAGUUCUUCCAAACAUAUUUCCACUUUUAUCAUGCUGCAUAGGAAGAAACAGAUUAAAAAGGAAAAAAAAGAGAGGAAAAAACCAAGCAAACAACAACAAAGGUACAAAUACUAUAUUUUGAUCCUCAUUCAGUCCCCAUAGUCCUCUCUCUGAGGGCUGAUGGCUCUCUCCACCACAAGUCUAUUGGAAUUGUUCUGAAUCAACUCAUUGUUGAAAAGAGUAAAGUUUAUCACAUAAACUUGUUUUUUUAAUAAAGCUUUUUAUAUUCAAAACACAUGCACAGAUAAUUUGACAAUAUUGAACCUUACAUAAACUUGGGUUUCAGAUUUUCCCCUCCUUCCUCCACUCCCUCCCUUAGAUGGCAAGCAAUUCAAUAUAUGUUAAACAUGUUAAAAUAUAUGUUAAAUCCAAUAUAUCAUAAAUUUUCAAUGGUACUUUGAUUCCCAAAUACACAUAUAGCUUUCAACAUUCAUUUUUAAAAAGAUUUUUGUGUUCCAGAUUUUUCCCUUCCUCCUUUCUCUCUCUCCCUCCUCCCCAUAAUCCCUCUGUAAUCUGAUACAAGUCAAAUAUGUGUAAUUCUUUUAAACAUAUUUCCAUAUUUGUUGUGUUGUUCAAGAAAAAUCAGAAAGGCAAAAAAAUGAGAAAGAAAAUAAACGAGCAAACAAACAAAAAAUACAUUCAGUCUCCAUAUUUCUCUCCCUGGAUGUGAACGGUACUUUCCAUCCCAAAUCUACUGGAAUUGCUUUGAAUCACCACAUUGUUGAAAAGAGCCAAGUCCAUCCCACUUGAUUGAUCAUGACCUAAUCUUAUUACUGUGUCCAGUGUUCUCUUGCUUCUGCUCACUUCACUCAGCAUCAGUUCAUGUAAGUUUCCAAUGCCUUAUAUUUCUUAAUUGUUUCUUUUUCACAGUUUCCCCCUGUAUCAUGGCACGAUGAUUAGCUAUGGAAUACCACAAUUUCCAAAGAAACACAAAGCGGGAUGUGGAGAUUCCUGGGGAGUAGGAGAAGAUAAAAAUCCCCGAAGUGUGCUCUCAAUGAGUUCUAAUAUGCACUGAGGAUGAGUACCUCCUAUCAGAUAACCACUCCCAAUGGCCAGAAGAUGCCCCCUGAGAUCCCCUGAGGAUGAAAGAGAGGGAGAAAUCCAUACUGCCUUGUCCUCAGGGAGCUUACAAUCCAGGCUAAAUAAACAUUCCUAGUUCCUCUAUCUGAGCCACCUGGGACAUGCAUUCAAGGCCUUUCCACAUUCCGGUGGCCUUCCUCCAGACACUCCAGUUUAUCAAGGUUCUUAAAAUGUGGCUCCUAUCACUAGCCUCAGAACUACAGACGGGAUCUGGAGAAGGCAGAGGAUGCUUUCAGGGGCCUCUCAAUGUAACUCCAAGAUCAAAUUUGGUUUUGUUUUUUUUUUUUUUGGCUGUAAAAUCCUGGUCUUGUUGAUUUAUAUGGAACUGAUGGAUAGCUAAAAACACCUACUCAAGCUUCUAAAACUGGUUUCAGUGUGACCUUGGACAAAUCACUUAACUUAGGAAAUAGCAUGGAAUAGGGAAAAUAGCAUAAAACAGCCAGGGAUUAGUGCUUCACACACACACACACACAGAUCCCAGCCAUAUCUAAAGACAAUAACAGUGUCUCUAUGAUGCUUUACAGUUUUGACAUGUUCCCUCCCAAAUCUGCCAUUCUCUGGUCUACAGAUUUCCCCCAACUCUCGUAACACAUGAGAUAUUUGUAAGGCACAUUGCUCUACAGAGUGCAAUAUAAGUGCUAGCUAUUAUCAUGAUCCUAUCUUCUAAUGACCCCCCAGGUUCUUCCUCCUAUCCCCCAACUCUGACAUUCUAUGAUUCUUUGAUCUGGAUCUCAGUUUUAGCAUCUGAAAAAUGGGUAACUACUCCAGGACCUCACUGAAAGGGCUCAAAUAACAGAAAAGGUAAAAAAUUGUCUCGUAGAUGGUAAAGCACCACGUGUACAAUUGUUAUUAUCAUGAGAUAGAGAUGUGAUCAGUGGGGAGGCGUAUGUGUGUGUGUGGGCAUGUGUUUGAGUGAAAAGGAAAGAGGCAGAGGGGGAAAGAAGGAGAAACAGAGAGAGACAGAAAGAGAGAGACAGGGAGAGAAACAGAGACAGAGAAGCAGUGGUUUAUGACCUGGCUGCUUUAUGACCCCCGCAAAGACUCAAUUUCUUCAGUUUCUGAAAAAAGAUCCUUAGAAAUGAGAGCUUGGAGGUGUAGGAAGGUGAAGGGGUGGAGUGAGUUGGAAUCAGGCUUAUUUGUGAGGGACUGGAUCUUCUAUCAGGGAAGGAGGAUAUUGGGGGAGGGAAACAGCCCAGUUCUUAGAGAUACUGCCUCCCUCGGGUGGGGGUUCUGGCCAGUCCUUGGGCAGGGGCUUGCUGGGAGAUUCUGCUUCUCCAGGGUCCUUCCCUCACCUAUUUGCCUGUCCAGGCAAAUGAUCCUGAAGCUUGUGUGUAGGAGGAUAGAAGAGGAGAGUUCAUAGAGUACUCUAAGAUAUCAGAGAAGGGAAGUACAGCUGCUAUGAGGUCCCACCUCCAUUCUCCCUUCUGCUUUUCUUCCCUUUUCCCUCCCUUUGCUUUUCUUUCUCUUUCACAUGUCCUCCCUCCUCCUUCCUUCUUUCCCUUUCCUAUCUCCUCCUCUUUCUCCCCCCUCCUCUUCCCCCUUCCUCCUCCUCCUCCUCCCCCUCCUCUUCCCUUUCCCCCUCUUUCCCCUUCCUCUUCUCCCACCAGAUUCAGGGGAGAGAAGGGGCCCACUGUUAGUCCUUGGUUUAACCCCUUCUAUUCCGAGGACUGACCCAGCAGAAGAGUUUUCAGGAAACUAAUGGGAUAGGGCCAAAGCCAGUGAAUGAAACCCAGGAUGUUUUCCCCUAGAGCUCUCCUCCAAUAUGGGGCAUGAGGAAAAGAUAAAUCUGGGCAAACCCAGCCCAGGUAGCCAGGGCCCAUUUCCUCUCCCCUGCCCAAAGAGAAGACAUUCUUCAGACUCCUGCUUAAGGGGCAUCUCACUCAAAUAGGAGUGGGAAGAAGAGAGAAGAUGGCUGUAAUAGAAAUGAUCAUAUGUGAAAUCUUCCAUUUCUAAAAAGUUAUUUGCAAAAUGUUUCUUUUUCAAGAGUCCUAUGAGAUAAUUUAUAAGACAAUCCUCAGUCUUUUUUUACAGAUGCAGAUUUUGAGGCUCUCAGGAGAAGAGAUGAGGAAGCACCUCCCUCCUUUUGAGACCUAUGUGUGUGGAGUGUUGCCUACUCCAUGUCUCUUAGUCCUGCCCUAUUGCUUUUCUUUGUUACAAGAGAGCUUCAUUUAGUGGGAAAGCACAUGCAAAAAUGGUUGUGCUGCAAAAACAAAAGGCAUCCAUGAAAUGAACUAAAAAAGAAAAAGAAACUGAGGCUGAAUGUGAUUUACUUGCCCCCUCCCCUAGAUCACAGAGCUUAUAAGUAGCAGAAUUAGAAUUAGAAGCGGGGCUCUUGAUGGGAGAUGCCAGUGGUUUUUCAUAAGGAAGAAGAUGGGGGAAGGGGGUGAUAGGGUGAGAACUGGAAGGUGUCCAAAGUCCACAAAGGGACCUGGUUCAGCCCCCAUCUUUCCUCCUCAUUAUUUAAAGAUUGUUCUUUGUCCCUGUCGUCCUAGGCCAGUCCCUGACCUGGAAUUCAAGAAGCUUGGAUUGAUGGAUCUAUGUCUCCUUGCAGGGGACUUUAGGGCUCUUCCCUUUCCCUCCAUGGGCCUCCUGCUCCUCAGCUAUAGAAUAGGGGGGAGCUUGGUCUCUGGCUCUUGGAGCUAAACUGAGACAACUCAAAUGUUGUAUGAGUUUACAUAAAUCAAAUGAGUCUUCUCC
Long non-coding RNA from Antechinus flavipes (yellow-footed antechinus), 4377 nucleotides. RefSeq lists it as uncharacterized. The transcript has 3 exons. The record is from RefSeq and is a predicted model, not a curated record. Lineage: Eukaryota; Metazoa; Chordata; Mammalia; Dasyuromorphia; Dasyuridae.